GCGAGGAUUUGGCGCCACUCCCGGGCCGACCUCCAUCCCAGGCAGACACACGGCAGGACGCUCCUCGUUAUGGCGCCAAAUAUUCAUCACUGCAAUGUUCUCCCCGGUUAUUAUGGAGCCAGCAGGACUUAAUAAAGGUGUCAAGUGCCCAUGCUGUGGUUGUGGCACUGAAACACUACAACACCUUCUAUUAGACUGUCCUGAAUAUGAUGACCUCAAAGUUGAAUUUAACUUAAUGCAAGAAAUUUAAAACAGGAAUAGAGAUGACAAGCUUGGUAGUAUACUAGCAUUUGACAGAUUGAAGAAAUAGAAACCAGAGAAGAAUUUGUGAAAAGACUGUGGAAUACCAGAAAAAAAUCAAGAACAUAGAAGUGAAAUCCAGGAGAAGAUGAAAAAAAAAAAAAAAACGAAUAUGACACACACGCCUUAAUGCCCACCAACACAGACUGAAUGCUGCAGGACCCACACUGCCCAUGGUGCCCCAUGCAUCCCAACAUGCCAGAACACUCCCUGCUCCAUUGCCCAAAAUGCCACUCCCUCUGCACCAACCUCAUAGUAUCCCUAACCAGGCUCCACAUCCACAGGCCAAGAAGAAAAAAGGAACAAGAAGAAAAAGAAAUUUAACCAGCCCCAAAAAACACUCCAGAAGAAGAAGAAGAAGAAACAGAAACAUCUACUCAACAAGAACUUCACAUGGAAGCCGUCACAAAGGCCAGCCCCCUAAAACGCUCCAGAAGAAGAAGAAAAAGAAACGUCUACUCAACAAGAACUAAAUAGUGGAAGCCGUUACAAAAGCCAGCCCCCUAAAACACUCCAGAAGAAGAAAAAGAAGCGUCUACUCAAUAAGAACUUCAUAGUGGGAGCCAUUACAAAGGCCGGCCUCCUAAAACACUCCAGAAGAAGAAGAAAAAGAGACAUCCACUCAACAAGAACUUCACAGUGGCAGCCGUUACAAAAACUAACCCCCUAAAACGCUCCAGAAGAAGAAGAAGAAAAAGAAGCAUCCACUCAACAUGAACUUCACAGUGGGAGCCAUCACAAAAGCCAGCCCCUUAAACCAUUCCAGAAAAAGAAGAAAAAGAAACAUCCGCUCAACAAGGACUUCACAGUGGGAGCUGUCACAAAGGCCAGCCCCCUAAAACACUCCAGAAGAAGAAGAAAAAGAAAGGUCUACUCAACAAGAACUAAAUAGUGGAAGCCGUUAUAAAAGCCAGCCCCCUAAAACACUCCAGAAGAAGAAGAAAAAGAAACGUCUACUUAACAAGAACUUCAUAGUGGGAGCCGUUACAAAGGCCGGGCCCCUAAAACACUCAGAAGAAGAAGAAAAAGAAGCAUCCACUCAACAUGAACUUCAAAGUGGGAGCCAUCACAAAAGCCAGCCCCUUAAACCAUUCCAGAAAAAGAAGAAAAAGAAACAUCCACUCAACAAGGACUUCACAGUGGGAGCCGUCACAAAGGCCAGCCCCCUAAAACACUCCAGAAGAAGAAGAAAAAGAAAGGUCUACUCAACAAGAACUAAAUAGUGGAAGCCGUUAUAAAAGCCAGCCCCCUAAAACACUCCAGAAGAAGAAGAAAAAGAAAGGUCUACUCAACAAGAACUAAAUAGUGGGAACCGUUACAAAGGCCGGCCCCCUAAAACACUCAGAAGAAGAAGAAAAAGAAGCAUCCACUCAACAUGAACUUCACAGUGGGAGCCAUCACAAAAGCCAGCCCCUUAAACCAUUCCAGAAAAAGAAGAAAAAGAAACAUCCACUCAACAAGGACUUCACAGUGGGAGCCGUCACAAAGGCCAGCCCCCUAAAACACUCCAGAAGAAGAAGAAAAAGAAAGGUCUACUCAACAAGAACUAAAUAGUGGGAACCGUUACAAAAGCCAGCCCCCUAAAACACUCCAGAAGAAGAAGAAAAAGAAGCAUCUCAACUAGGACUUCACAAUGGGAGCCGUCACAAAAGCCAGCCCCCUAAGACAUUGAAGAACAGGCUUAUCCAACGCCUGCUACAGGAGUGGACUGGACUGGCGCCUGACAAGUGAACUGAGAUGGAGUAACGACGUCAGGGUGGCUCCUUAAACAGGUGGUGUGGGAGUGCUACACUCCACAGCCACAGAGGCGCCACCCUGCCAAGACCACAGCAAGAGGAGGAAGAGCUCUGCAGUACUAAGUUAAGUACCUCGUCAUGACAUUCCGAGUGUUUUUCCUCAUUUUUACCUUCUAUUCAAAACUUUAUUUUCUAAUGAACCUGAUCUUUUUCUCAGCUUGCCUCCUCCUACUCCUUCAGCUUCCUUUUCCUCCUUGUGUGGCUGUGUCCGUCCCGACAUCCAGCGAGACCAUCCCGACGUCGUAACACCCGUUUGGGAGUGGGGGGACUCAUGAAGGCGGCGGCGGCAGCCCUAAGGUGGGGAGGGUUGCGCCGACACCUCCACUCCGUUUCGGCGGAAUGUGGCUGGCUAGGGUGGCCUGAACCACUGUCUGGGUUGUUUGUCGUUCAGUCGGAUUGAGGAUCUGCCUCCCUUGAGGUGCACAUGUCAUAGUGGUGGCAGAAGAGAGUGUGAAAGGUGUGUGAGUGAAGCUGAUGUCAUCCAGACGUCGUAACACCGUUGGGUGGGGCGGGGCUCUCAUGUCAAGUCUCCCCGCGGUGCACAUGUCACAGAGGUGCAAACAGCAUGGCCUUCUUUCCUAUCUUUUCCCCCUCCUCCUCCACCUCCCUCCCCCACACACCUCCUGCUGUUAUAUCGUCACCUUCGUAAAGAAACUGUCUAAGUCAUUAUUUUCUACUUUUAAGGAAAUCAGAAAAGAAUUCAUUGUCUCAUUUGGCUUCACACUCAAACUCUGAAUAAUGAAGGGAACCAUACAAAAAAUGGGCGUCACAUGUUAAAAAAAAUUAAUGUAAACAAAAACCUGGAAAUCGCUGAAAACAGACUUAGGCAAUUAUUUUAUGAGGUUGGCGAUGUUGAAAUAGGUUUCUCACCCUCUAUUUAGGGACGUUCACUAAUUUUCUUGUUCUCCUCCCCUUCUCCUCCUCCCCUUGCUUAUCGGUGGAUGGAGGAGGAUCACUAGGAUGAGGAUGCAGAGGCGUUUCGACCAUGAGGAAGCAGGAGACUAAAAGCAGAGACGUAGGAAGAGAAAGGCCAGCAAGACAGCAGAUGUAGGCGGUGUAGAUCGGGGGGAGACACUUUGCACAGCUCCAUCACACUAAGGCCAGCAAGACGGCCAGUGCAGUGAAGAGGAGGAAGAAGGCUGCAGUAGGCUGUGGAGAAGCAGUGUGAGUGUGUGGAGGAUACUUGACACAGCACCAUCACACACCUGGCAAAGGCUGGGAAAUGAGAAUAAAGAAGACAAGAAGAAAGAAAAAAUACAAGAAGUAAGAUGAAGAAGACAAGAAGAAAGAAGGAAAGAGGUGCCACAUAUACAGGUUAAAGGUUAAAUGGAGGAGGUCACUCAUUCUGUCUAUCCGAGAGGUCUGAUGUGUUACGUACGAGGGCUGCUAUUUAAAUGUAACAUGCUGGGUAACAUAUUUAAGUGUAACGUGCUGGGUAACAUAUUUUAAGUGUAACGUGCUGGGUAACAUUUAAAUGGUAACGUGCUGGAUAACAUAUUUAAGUGUAAUGUGCUGGGUAACAUAUUUAAGUGUAAUGUGCUGGGUAACAUAUUUAGUGUAACAUGCUGGGGAAUAUAUUUAUGUGUGACGUGCUGUGUUAUAUAUUUAAGUGUUACGUUCUGGGAGAAUAUUUAGGUGACGUGCUUGGUAAUAUAUUUAAGUGUGACGUGCUGGGUAAUAUAUUUAAGUGUAACGUGCUGGGUAAAAUAUUUAAGUGUGAUGCGCUGGGGAAUGUAUUUAAGUGUAACGUGCUUGGUAACAUUUAAGUGUGACGUUCUGUGGAAAAUAUUUGUGUUACGUGCGGGGAAAAGUAUUUAAGUGUUACAUGCUGGGUAAUAUAUUUAAAGGUAAUAUGGUGGCAUAAUUCAUUUAAGGGAAUAUGGUGGUGUAAUAUAUUUAAAGGUAAUAUGGUGGCGUAAUACAUUUAAGGUAAUAUGCUAACGUAAUAUACUUGAAGGUAAUAUGCUGGCGUAAUACAUUUAAGGUAAUAUGCUGGCAUAAUACAUUUAAGGUAAUAUGCUGGGGGGUAUAUUUUAAGGCAAUGUACUAACUUAUAGAGUAAUGGUGAUGCUACGGUCGUAACAACCCAUACUGCUUCUGCUGCAUCUGCUAUCACAACCCAUCCUGCUGCAUCCGCUAUCACAACCCAUCCUGCUGCAUCCGCUAUCACAACCCAUCCUGCUGCAUCCGCUAUCACAACCCAUCCUGCUGCAUCCGCUAUCACAACCCAUCCUGCUGCAUUCGCUAUCAUAACUCAUCCUGCGCCAUCCGCUAUCACAACCGAUCCUGCGCCAUCUGCUGUCACAAAUCGUACUCCGCUAUCACAACCCGUCCUGCUGCGUCCUUUAUCACAACUCGUUCUGCUCCGUUAUCACAACCCAUGCUGCUCCGCUAUUACAACACGUACAGCUACAUCCGCUAUUGCAACAACCCACACUGGUUUUGCAAUCACAACACGAAUUGCUGCUUCGGCUAUCAUUACCCUGAACUGAUGCUUCCAUUGUCAACAACUCGUACUGCUUUUGAAGGUGCAACAACCUGUUUUGCUUCCACUGCUGGUGGCAGUGGCUGAGUGGUUAUUGCUCCUGCUGUCACAUCAACAUGGUUGCAACAACCCGAAUAAUGAAUUUCCUGAUCAAAGAUCAGAGAGGAUUAGGCCUA
Long non-coding RNA from Eriocheir sinensis (Chinese mitten crab), 4757 nucleotides. RefSeq lists it as uncharacterized. The transcript has 7 exons. Lineage: Eukaryota; Metazoa; Arthropoda; Malacostraca; Decapoda; Varunidae. The record is from RefSeq and is a predicted model, not a curated record.